UCAAUUUGGUCCAACGUUUACCUUGCGGU
Molecule: small RNA, 29 nt
Filed under: Bombyx mori (domestic silkworm)
Lineage: Eukaryota; Metazoa; Arthropoda; Insecta; Lepidoptera; Bombycidae
Description: ovarian small RNA-24942
Source: RNAcentral